AAGCAUGUGAUAAAAUUCUUUGCUAAACUGGGGCCUAAGUCAGUGUGAUCUUAGGGUGGAACUCAAAUAACUGCUCUUGCAGGAGGGAGAACGGGCACAAGAACGGAGCCAAAGGUUCUCCUGGGGUGAUGGGCCGGGGUGAGCGGCAAGAGCCCAAACAAAUGGGAAAACGGCGUGAUCGGAGAGAAGGAGGGACUGUAUGACUGGCUCCGUGGCUACGGCUUGGGAGGAGGAAAUUCCUCGUCGGAACGUUGCCAGGAGGAACACUGUGCUCCAAGACUGCGCUUUAAGAAAUGCCCCACGGAGCGGAGCCAAGGGAGUCAUCAGCGUAUUUACUGGACUGUUCUGAGCCCUACACGGUGCCUUAGGAAAUACCUCUCUUCCUGGAAAUCCAUGGCUAGCUGGUAAAACUCUACUGUGUGGAUAAACAUAAUUAAUCUUCACAAAACCCUAGACAUGCAAUAUCUGAACCUGACGUAGCAGGUGGAAAUUGUGUUAUUGCUCAUACAAGGAAAGUUGCCCCACCGACAGAGCUUAAACCUAGGAAAUCCUGUUUGUAAACCUGCUAGGUUUUUGGCUAUGUCUUCUGUUGCUCUUGUGGCCCUUUAUUUUUUCCUUCUGAAUGGGUAAGCAAUCCCAGUUUGCUGACAAAUAACAAAUAUUUGCAAAC
Long non-coding RNA from Pygoscelis adeliae (Adelie penguin), 670 nucleotides. RefSeq lists it as uncharacterized. The transcript has 2 exons. The record is from RefSeq and is a predicted model, not a curated record. NCBI's taxonomy places the organism in Eukaryota, Metazoa, Chordata, Aves, Sphenisciformes, Spheniscidae.